AUAACUUAAGGCUCGGCCGUACCUAACGAAAUCUCGAAUUUAAGAAUUCUAAUCACUUUUUGAAUAUUUAUGGGACUCAGAUGAUGAAAAUCUUCUGAGAAAGUUCGUCUUGUACUUUUAGUCGGAAGCUAAGAAAAUUGCUGUUAUGAUAAUUAUUUAAUAAAUAACUAGAAUUCUUAAAUUCUUGAUUUCGUUAGGUCCGGCCCAGCCUUAAAGUUAACUUGUGGUUAAGGUGGCUAUCAGGGUAGUUGGAUAGACGAAGCGAUUAAUACUCAUGUAUAUAAUACUUGAAACCUCUCAUGCGUAUUAAACUUAAUAUAUUGCUGUCGUUGCACACAAAUCAACUUUAUUUGCAAACAUACUUAAGACGCGUUUUCAUUUGUUUCUCUAUUCGCACUCAACUGGAUAAACGGUACUAUCUCUGUUGCACUUGUACAUUAAAUAGGAACUUUGUCCAAGCUUUUCUCGUAAACAAAUGGAAGUUAUCAAAAAAUUCAAGUGCACUUCGCUAGUUCAUAGAGUAAAGCAUCGGGUCUGUGUCUUUAUUUUGCGUUUAGAGCUUUUAUUUCAGAGAAAAGCUGGGACAAAAUUAUCUGAAAACCGUUCUUAAGUUAAUCAAUACUAUAAAUUCACUUCAAAAACAAUGGUAAAAAGAUUUAGCUACGUCACAGUGUCUCUGAAUAUUUGUAAUUUACAAAGAGUUCAUAUCGAAGGUUGAUUAUUGAACGUCAAUUAUAAAAGGAUUAAAUGAUAACUAUUUAUGAAGCUACAAGCAGCUAUUAAAUGAUGAAAUUAAAGUCGAUUCGGCUAUAUUAUUUAUUUAAAGAAAUUUUCCAUAAUAUUGGAUGAGUAUAUUUUUCAAAUUUAAAAAAAAAAUAUCAUUAGUUUAAAUUUCUUUUUAUUCCUAUUGUAGAUUACAUUAAAAAUUUUACCAGAAAAAUAAAUUACAAGGAUACAAAAAAAAAAAAGUUAACUCAAUUUAAUUCGUAUUCACUGUAGAAGAUUAAUCGCACUUUUGUCACAUACGCAUCGAUGAUUCCAUAAUAUCGUAGAGUCUUUAUCAUCAGUACUUAUCUAUGGAAUAAUUAUUCAUUCACACCAGUAUUAUAAAUGUGAAGAUUUACAUUUAGUGCAAUAUGUUUGUUCAGAGAUAGAUUCAUGAUGUAUUAGCAAAUUUUCAAUCAGUGUACUGACAUCGUCUACACAGUCAAUAGUGUAAUCCUUUUCAGGGUACAUUUUCCGUAAGAAAUGAAGUCUUUUACUGUAGAAUUCCGCGGUGGCACCAUGUUCAGCAUAAAAUUGUUAGAUUUCUAAAAAUCAGGAGACGCGGUAGUAUCUCGCGCCAAGUACACGUUCAGACACAUGUAUAUGUGUGAAGUGUCAUGGCGCUAGCCUACCGUGUCUCUAUACCGUAGACAGAAAGGUAUUUAGCUCCAAUUUUUAAAAACUUUUUUAAAAAACAAAAUAUCUAGAAAAUUCCUUUUGCAAUCGAAAGAUGAUUGAUUGUUCGUCAUAAAAUUAUGAAACUUUACCAAUUUUAGUUACGAUCAGGAGACACGGUAGUAUCUCGCGCCAAGUACACGUUCAGACACAUGUAUAUGUGUGAAGUGUCAUGGCGCUAGCCUACCGUGUCUCUAUACUGUAGACAGAAAGAAAAGUGCAAGAGAAUAAGUAUAUUUACGAAUAUUUGAACGGUAAAUGUUAAGAUGUCGAUGUCAAUAAUAAAUAAAAAAUAAAGACUCAUCCAACAUUACGACGUGUCAACCGAAGCGCGCAAGCAAUAGCUAGUGCAUAUAUAUGUAUAUUCAUAUGUCCAUGGAAAUUCUGAAAAAAAAGAAAAGCAUACCCUUGGGUCAAAGGAGACGGAGGAUAAGUACUUUGCACCACUUGCUAGUUGUAAUAGAUGAAAGAUGCUGGAAGAGGGGUCAAACCACUAAACCAUUUGAUAUUUAAAAUUAUUAACAGAAAAGCCCGACGUUGAUGAAUAUAUUUGACGUUAAUUUUAAUGGGGACUGUCGUUAAAUAACUGCAACUAUUUGUCUUAUAAAAAUAGAUCAAGCAGGUUAUAAUGUUUGGCAGUACUAAAUUAUUAGAAAUAGAUUAACGUACUUUCCUCGUUUAAUUGGUUGACAUGAGGUACUGUUUGAAAUUUUUUUUCGUUUCACUGAUGUUUGGUUUUCGUGAAUUUUAAAUUGAAUUGGUUGCUCGUCUAGUACUAUUGAAAAACUAUUUUCUAGUUUUUGUUUAAAUGAUAUUUUUAAGGAUUUUAAUGAGUCAGAAAAUGAGUUAGGAGUGGAGCUGAAUUUCGGUUCAGACAAAUUUGAAUCAUUAUUGGAUGAAAUAUUACUUUCUUUCCUUGUACACAAAAAAACGUCUAAUGAUGAGUCAGAAGAAAUUUUAGCAGGUAUGUCGGAAGAUAUUUUGGCAGGUGUAUCGGAAGAAAUUCUAGCAGUUCCCUUGUGGAAAUAUUUUUCUUCGAGAACUGAGAAUACUUCUUUUAAAACUAAAAAUACAACUGUAAAAGUCUUCAUUUCUCUUAGAAAUUCAGAAUACCUAUUUUAAAGUCAAAAAAAUUCUGUGUUAGUCAUUAGAAGUCUAACAUUCUGUCAAAUUUGGGAGUCUUCUGGAAGAAUAAUAAAGAGCAAUUAAAACUUUUAGCAGAGAAGUGACAUGGCAUUGAAAAAAAAUUUCAGAGUUAGUUAGAGUUUUAAAAACUUCUGGUCAAAAAUUGAGAUAACAAUAUAAAUUAUUUUUCAGAUUUAUUCGGAGUUUUAAAAACUUCAAGGCCAAAAUUAAGAUAACAAUAAAAACAAAUUCUUCUGAUUUAUUCAGAGUUUUAAAAACUUUAAGGCAAAAAUUAAGAUAACAAUAAAAAAAAAUUUUUCAGAGUUAUUCAUAGUUUUAAAAUCUUUUAGGCAAAAAUUGAGAUAAUAAUAAAAAAAUUUUUUUCAGAGUUUCUCCUAAUUUUCAAUACUUUAAGGCAACUAUUGUAGUAAUAAUAAAAAAAGUGUUUUUUUUUUUGUUUUUUUGAGACUUCCAACAGAGAAUUCACGCCAUAAAUACAAAAAGUUUUAGAAUUAUCAAUAAAAAUUUAAGGAACUAAUGACCAUCACAAUUUCAAAUAAAAUAAAGUUAUAGUUUACCGAUAAUAAUAAUUAUUAUUAUUAAAAAAAAUUAUUAUAAUGUAAGUAAAAUUUAUU
This is a long non-coding RNA of Microplitis demolitor, 3200 nucleotides long. RefSeq lists it as uncharacterized. NCBI's taxonomy places the organism in Eukaryota, Metazoa, Arthropoda, Insecta, Hymenoptera, Braconidae. The record is from RefSeq and is a predicted model, not a curated record. The transcript has 7 exons.